GACGAACGCUGGCGGCGUGCCUAAUACAUGCAAGUUGAGCGCUGAAGGUUGGUACUUGUACCAACUGGAUGAGCAGCGAACGGGUGAGUAACGCGUGGAGAAUCUGCCUUUGAGCGGGGGACAACAUUUGGAAACGAAUGCUAAUACCGCAUAAAAACUUUAAACACAAGUUUUAAGUUUGAAAGAUGCAAUUGCAUCACUCAAAGAUGAUCCCGCGUUGUAUUAGCUAGUUGGUGAGGUAAAGGCUCACCAAGGCGAUGAUACAUAGCCGACCUGAGAGGGUGAUCGGCCACAUUGGGACUGAGACACGGCCCAAACUCCUACGGGAGGCAGCAGUAGGGAAUCUUCGGCAAUGGACGAAAGUCUGACCGAGCAACGCCGCGUGAGUGAAGAAGGUUUUCGGAUCGUAAAACUCUGUUGGUAGAGAAGAACGUUGGUGAGAGUGGAAAGCUCAUCAAGUGACGGUAACUACCCAGAAAGGGACGGCUAACUACGUG
RNAcentral lists this ribosomal RNA (497 nucleotides) under uncultured bacterium. Its description in RNAcentral is "partial 16S ribosomal RNA". It matches the Rfam family "Bacterial small subunit ribosomal RNA", at positions 28 to 507 of the family's 1533-position model. The record is from RNAcentral.